GCUAUCACGGCGGGAAAGCUCCGGCGGCGCGGGAUGGGGUGGCGGCCCAUCAGGUAGUGGGUGGGGUAGAGGCCGGCCCAGCCGAGGACGGGUAGCCGGGUUGAGAGACCGACCGGCCACAUUGGGACUGAGAUACGGCCCAGACUCCUACGGGAGGCAGCAGUGGGGAAUAUUGAACGGUGGGGGCAACCCUGACGCAGCAACGCCGCGUGCGGGUAGAGGGCACUCGUGUCGUAAACCGCUUCAGCAGGGAAG
Molecule: ribosomal RNA, 255 nt
Filed under: uncultured bacterium
Lineage: Bacteria
Description: partial 16S ribosomal RNA
Rfam family: Bacterial small subunit ribosomal RNA
Source: RNAcentral